This 1447-nucleotide ribosomal RNA is filed under the name uncultured bacterium. RNAcentral's name for it is "bacterial SSU rRNA". It matches the Rfam family "Bacterial small subunit ribosomal RNA". The record is from RNAcentral.
AGAGUUUGAUCCUGGCUCAGGAUGAACGCUGGCGGCGUGCUUAACACAUGCAAGUCGAACGAACCUUCGGGUUAGUGGCGGACGGGUGAGUAACGCGUGAGAAUCUGCCCUCAGGAGGGGGACAACAGCUGGAAACGGCUGCUAAUACCCCAUAUGCCGCGAGGUGAAAUGAAUUUCGCCUGAGGAUGAGCUCGCGUCUGAUUAGCUAGUUGGUGUAGGUAAUGGCUCACCAAGGCAUCGAUCAGUAGCUGGUCUGAGAGGAUGAUCAGCCACACUGGGACUGAGACACGGCCCAGACUCCUACGGGAGGCAGCAGUGGGGAAUUUUCCGCAAUGGGCGAAAGCCUGACGGAGCAACGCCGCGUGAGGGAUGAAGGCCUCUGGGCUGUAAACCUCUUUUAUCAAGGAAGAAGAUCUGACGGUACUUGAUGAAUAAGCCACGGCUAAUUCCGUGCCAGCAGCCGCGGUAAUACGGGAGUGGCAAGCGUUAUCCGGAAUUAUUGGGCGUAAAGCGUCCGCAGGCGGCCCUUCAAGUCUGCUGUUAAAAAGUGGAGCUUAACUCCAUCAUGGCAGUGGAAACUGUUGGGCUUGAGUGUGGUAGGGGCAGAGGGAAUUCCCGGUGUAGCGGUGGAAUGCGUAGAUAUCGGGAAGAACACCAGUGGCGAAGGCGCUCUGCUGGGCCAUCACUGACGCUCAUGGACGAAAGCCAGGGGAGCGAAAGGGAUUAGAUACCCCUGUAGUCCUGGCCGUAAACGAUGAACACUAGGUGUCGGGGGAAUCGACCCCCUCGGUGUCGUAGCCAACGCGUUAAGUGUUCCGCCUGGGGAGUACGCACGCAAGUGUGAAACUCAAAGGAAUUGACGGGGGCCCGCACAAGCGGUGGAGUAUGUGGUUUAAUUCGAUGCAACGCGAAGAACCUUACCAGGGUUUGACAUCCUGCGAAUCUCUUGGAAACAGGAGAGUGCCUUCGGGAACGCAGUGACAGGUGGUGCAUGGCUGUCGUCAGCUCGUGUCGUGAGAUGUUGGGUUAAGUCCCGCAACGAGCGCAACCCACGUCUUUAGUUGCCAGCAUUCAGUUGGGCACUCUAGAGAGACUGCCGGUGAUAAACCGGAGGAAGGUGUGGAUGACGUCAAGUCAUCAUGCCCCUUACAUCCUGGGCUACACACGUACUACAAUGCUACGGACAAAGGGCAGCAAGUUCGCGAGGACAAGCAAAUCCCAUAAACCGUGGCUCAGUUCAGAUCGUAGGCUGCAACUCGCCUACGUGAAGGCGGAAUCGCUAGUAAUCGCAGGUCAGCAUACUGCGGUGAAUACGUUCCCGGGCCUUGUACACACCGCCCGUCACACCAUGGAAGUUGGCCACGCCCGAAGCCGUUACUCCAACCCUUGUGGAGGAGGACGUCGAAGGUGGGGCUGAUGACUGGGGUGAAGUCGUAACAAGGUAACC